UCACUUACCUGGAUGGGGUCAAUGGAUGAUCAAUAAGGUCCAUGGCCUAGGUUGGUGACCUCCAUUGCACUUAGGAGGGGUGCCCGCCUAAGAUCGGCCCAAGUGGUCGAGUCUACAUCAUAAUUUGUGGCAGUGGAGGCCUGUGUUCGCGCGGCCUCUGC
Molecule: small nuclear RNA, 161 nt
Filed under: Helianthus annuus (common sunflower)
Lineage: Eukaryota; Viridiplantae; Streptophyta; Magnoliopsida; Asterales; Asteraceae
Description: U1 spliceosomal RNA
Rfam family: U1 spliceosomal RNA
About the family: U1 is a small nuclear RNA (snRNA) component of the spliceosome (involved in pre-mRNA splicing). Its 5' end forms complementary base pairs with the 5' splice junction, thus defining the 5' donor site of an intron.
Source: RNAcentral